CCUACGGGUGGCAGCAGUGGGGAAUAUAGCGCAAUGGGCGAAAGCCUGACGCAGCGACGCCGCGUGAGGGAUGAAGGUCUUCGGAUCGUAAACCUCUGUCAGCAGGGAAGAACGGUCACUGUGCUAAUCAGCAGUGAAUUGACGGUACCUGCAAAGGAAGCACCGGCUAACUACGUGCCAGCAGCCGCGGUAAUACGUAGGGGGCAAGCGUUAGCCGGAUUUACUGGGGGUAAAGGGGGCGCAGACGGCGAUGCAAGCCAGGAGUGAAAGCCCGGGGCCCAACCCCGGGACUGCGCUUGGAACUGCGUGGCUGGAGUGCAGGAGGGGCAGGCGGAAUUGCUGGUGUAGCGGUGAAAUGCGUAGAUAUCAGGAGGAACACCGGUGGCGAAGGCGGCCUGCUGGACUGCAACUGACGUUGAGGCCCGAAAGCGUGGGGAGCAAACAGGAUUACAUACCCUGGUAGUC
This 465-nucleotide ribosomal RNA is filed under the name uncultured bacterium. RNAcentral's name for it is "partial 16S ribosomal RNA". It matches the Rfam family "Bacterial small subunit ribosomal RNA", at positions 338 to 795 of the family's 1533-position model. The record is from RNAcentral.